Molecule: unclassified non-coding RNA, 378 nt
Filed under: uncultured bacterium
Lineage: Bacteria
Description: contains 16S-23S intergenic spacer region
Source: RNAcentral
UCCGGUUUGUCACCGGCAGUCUCGCAUGAGUCCCCAACUAAAUGCUGGCAACAUGCGACGGGGGUUGCGCUCGUUGCGGGACUUAACCCAACAUCUCACGACACGAGCUGACGACAGCCAUGCAGCACCUGUCCAAGGGUCCCGAAGGAGGGCGCUCGUUUCUGAGCGCUUUCCCCUGGAUGUCAAGCCCAGGUAAGGUUCUUCGCGUUGCGUCGAAUUAAACCACAUGCUCCACCGCUUGUGCGGGCCCCCGUCAAUUCCUUUGAGUUUCAGCCUUGCGGCCGUACUCCCCAGGCGGGGCACUUAAUGCGUUAGCGCCGGCACCCAGGGGGUCGCUCCCCCAGGCACCUAGUGCCCAUCGUUUACGGCGUGGACUAC